GAUGAACGCUGGCGGCGUGCCUAAUACAUGCAAGUCGAGCGAACAGACGAGGAGCUUGCUCCUCUGACGUUAGCGGCGGACGGGUGAGUAACACGUGGAUAACCUACCUAUAAGACUGGGAUAACUUCGGGAAACCGGAGCUAAUACCGGAUAAUAUAUUGAACCGCAUGGUUCAAUAGUGAAAGACGGUUUUGCUGUCACUUAUAGAUGGAUCCGCGCCGCAUUAGCUAGUUGGUAAGGUAACGGCUUACCAAGGCGACUAUGCGUAGCCGACCUGAGAGGGUGAUCGGCCACACUGGAACUGAGACACGGUCCAGACUCCUACGGGAGGCAGCAGUAGGGAAUCUUCCGCAAUGGGCGAAAGCCUGACGGAGCAACGCCGCGUGAGUGAUGAAGGUCUUCGGAUCGUAAAACUCUGUUAUUAGGGAAGAACAAAUGUGUAAGUAACUAUGCACGUCUUGACGGUACCUAAUCAGAAAGCCACGGCUAACUACGUG
Molecule: ribosomal RNA, 497 nt
Filed under: uncultured bacterium
Lineage: Bacteria
Description: partial 16S ribosomal RNA
Rfam family: Bacterial small subunit ribosomal RNA
Source: RNAcentral